UACGAGGGGCGCAAAUGUUGUUCGGAAUCACUGGGCGUAAAGGGAGCGUAGGCGGGUUCUUAAGUUAGGUGUUUAAUCCCGGGGCCCAACCCCGGACCGGCACUUAAAACUGGGAAUCUUGAAUAGUGGAGAGGUCAGUGGAAUUGGGGGUGUAGCGGUGGAAUGCGUAGAGAUCCCCAAGAACACCAGUUGCGAAGGCGGCUGACUGGACACAUAUUGACGCUGAGGCUCGAAAGCAUGGGGAGCAAACAGG
Molecule: ribosomal RNA, 253 nt
Filed under: uncultured bacterium
Lineage: Bacteria
Description: partial 16S ribosomal RNA
Rfam family: Bacterial small subunit ribosomal RNA
Source: RNAcentral